This 489-nucleotide ribosomal RNA is filed under the name Pseudo-nitzschia australis. RNAcentral's name for it is "eukaryotic LSU rRNA". It matches the Rfam family "Eukaryotic large subunit ribosomal RNA", at positions 1 to 506 of the family's 3401-position model. Lineage: Eukaryota; Bacillariophyta; Bacillariophyceae; Bacillariales; Bacillariaceae. The record is from RNAcentral.
CGGAUCUCAGAUCAAGCAAGAGGACCCGCCGAAUUUAAGCAUAUAAUUAAGCGGAGGAAAAGAAACUAACUAGGAUUCCCUCAGUAACGGCGAGUGAAGCGGGACUAGCUCAGGAUGUGAAUCUGCGCUUUUAUGGCGCCGAAUUGUGGUCUGUAGACUUUGACAUUAUCUGCCGGGCCAAGUUCCUUGGAAAAGGACAGCUGAGAGGGUGAGACUCCCGUCCGCCUGGUGGAGUGAGUCAUUUGUCAACGAGUCGAGUUGUUUGGGAUUGCAGCUCUAAUUUGGUGGUAAAUUCCAUCUAAAGCUAAAUAUUGGUGGGAGACCGAUAGCGUACAAGUACCGUGAGGGAAAGAUGCAAAGAACUUUGAAAAGAGAGUUAAAGAGUACCUGAAACUGCUGAAACGGAAGCGAAGGAAACCAGUGUUUGUUGGUUCAUAUUUCCCCGGCCACUUGUGGUUUGGGCGCUGUGAGCUUGGCGUGAGUUUGGGU